GACGAACGCUGGCGGCGUGCUUAACACAUGCAAGUCGAACGGUGAAGCGCCUUCCUUUUUGGUGGGUGUGGAUGAGUGGCGAACGGGUGAGUAACACGUGAGUAACCUGCCCCCUUCUUCUGGAUAACCGCAUGAAAGUGUGGCUAAUACGGGAUAUUCUGGGUCUGUCGCAUGAUGGGUCUGGGGAAGAUGUUGUUUCGGUGGGGGAUGGGCUCGCGGCCUAUCAGCUUGUUGGUGGGGUGAUGGCCUACCAAGGCGGUGACGGGUAGCCGGCCUGAGAGGGUGGCCGGUCACAGUGGGACUGAGGCACGGCCCAGACUCCUACGGGGGGCAGCAGUGGGGAAUAUUGCACAAUGGGCGCAAGCCUGAUGCAGCGACGCCGCGGGAGGGAUGGAGGCCUGCGGGUUGUGAACCUCUUUCGCCAGUGAAGCAGGCCUGCCUCGUUUGUGGGUGGGUUGACGGUAGCUGGAGAAGAAGCGCCGGCUAACUACGUG
This 494-nucleotide ribosomal RNA is filed under the name uncultured bacterium. RNAcentral's name for it is "partial 16S ribosomal RNA". It matches the Rfam family "Bacterial small subunit ribosomal RNA", at positions 28 to 507 of the family's 1533-position model. The record is from RNAcentral.